RNAcentral lists this ribosomal RNA (254 nucleotides) under uncultured bacterium. RNAcentral's name for it is "partial 16S ribosomal RNA". It matches the Rfam family "Bacterial small subunit ribosomal RNA", at positions 524 to 776 of the family's 1533-position model. The record is from RNAcentral.
UACGAAGGGUGCAAACGUUGCUCGGAAUUAUUGGGCAUAAAGAGCUCGUAGGCGGUUUGGCAAGUCGGGUGUGAAACCUCCAGGCUCAACCUGGAGACGCCACUCGAUACUGCUAUGACUUGAGUCUGGUAGGGGAUCACGGAAUUCCUGGUGUAGCGGUGAAAUGCAUAGAUAUCAGGAGGAACACCGGUGGCGAAGGCGGUGAUCUGGGCCAGUACUGACGCUGAGGAGCGAAAGCGUGGGGAGCGAACAGG